CUCCGUUAGAGAUUAUAUGAGAAUUAAGCUAGUAACUUCACCCAAUCUCGCUGAUGGGCACUAAUAUAGUGUCUCAAGUAGAGCUCUAGCAGCGUGUUCACCCCGUUCAGUCUAGCCAUUGCUCUACAAAUAGAAUCUAGUUGAGAAAUUCAAUUAUAUUCCAAAUAACUUGAGCAAUUCUAGCCAAAAUAUCCAUGUGAAACACUAGUCUCUGUCGUUAAUGAUGCU
Molecule: long non-coding RNA, 228 nt
Filed under: Carica papaya (papaya)
Lineage: Eukaryota; Viridiplantae; Streptophyta; Magnoliopsida; Brassicales; Caricaceae
Description: long non-coding RNA (CPAP_LNC004926)
Source: RNAcentral